Molecule: long non-coding RNA, 327 nt
Filed under: Pogona vitticeps (central bearded dragon)
Lineage: Eukaryota; Metazoa; Chordata; Lepidosauria; Squamata; Agamidae
Description: lncRNA (ENSPVIG00000018710.1)
Source: RNAcentral
AACCACUGUAUGGAGCCACACCGCUAUGAGGGAAAACGUAGGACAGUUGGAACAGAGCAAGGAAACAUAGAAGUCUUGCCGAAAGAUGCUUCAUCAACUGCUAGUGUAGGAAGCCUUGAAACUAGUGUGAUCAGUUGGGCUCCUUGCUGUGCUACUGCUCCGCCUUCCAGGGAUUAGCACAAGAGCGUCUGAGCUGAUCUCUCUGAACACCCUGAUCCUUAGCACACUGUGCGAAAGUAAGUACUACUCCUUUCACAAAGGUUUUUUCCUAUGAUUGCUUGGAUCAAUAUUGCAAGGCUUUUGGCUCAUGCAGGGACAUAAAGGAAG